UCCUACGGGAGGCAGCAGUGGGGAAUCUUAGACAAUGGGCGCAAGCCUGAUCUAGCCAUGCCGCGUGAUCGAUGAAGGCCUUAGGGUUGUAAAGAUCUUUCAGUUGGGAAGAUAAUGACGGUACCAACAGAAGAAGCCCCGGCUAACUCCGUGCCAGCAGCCGCGGUAAAUACGGAGGGGGCUAGCGUUAUUCGGAAUUACUGG
Molecule: ribosomal RNA, 204 nt
Filed under: uncultured bacterium
Lineage: Bacteria
Description: partial 16S ribosomal RNA
Rfam family: Bacterial small subunit ribosomal RNA
Source: RNAcentral